GAUGAACGCUAGCUACAGGCUUAACACAUGCAAGUCGAGGGGCAGCGGGGAGGAUGCUUGCAUUCUCUGCCGGCGACCGGCGCACGGGUGAGUAACGCGUAUCGGACCUGCCUCAUACCCGGGAACAGCCUUGCGAAAGUAAGAUUAAUGCCCGAUGUUCCGCAGAUGCCGCAUGGUGUCUUCGGCAAAGAUUUUUUCGGAUGAGAUGGCGAUGCGUCCCAUUAGCUUGUGGCGGGUAACGCCCACGAGGCGACGAGUGGGUAGGGUUCUGAGAGGAACGGUCCCCCAUAGUUGGAACUGAGACACGGUCCAAACUCCUACGGGAGCAGCAGUGAGGAUAUUGGCAAUGGGCGAAGCCUGAACCAGCCAAGUAGCGUGCAGGAUGACGGCCCUCGGGUU
RNAcentral lists this ribosomal RNA (399 nucleotides) under uncultured bacterium. RNAcentral's name for it is "bacterial SSU rRNA". It matches the Rfam family "Bacterial small subunit ribosomal RNA", at positions 28 to 424 of the family's 1533-position model. The record is from RNAcentral.